GUAGGCCUAACACAUGCAAGUCGAACGGCAGCACAGUAAGAGCUUGCUCUUAUGGGUGGCGAGUGGCGGACGGGUGAGGAAUACAUCGGAAUCUACUUUUUCGUGGGGGAUAACGUAGGGAAACUUACGCUAAUACCGCAUACGACCUACGGGUGAAAGCAGGGGACCUUCGGACCUUGCGCGAUUGAAUGAGCCGAUGUCGGAUUAGCUAGUUGGCGGGGUAAAGGCCCACCAAGGCGACGAUCCGUAGCUGGUCUGAGAGGAUGAUCAGCCACACUGGAACUGAGACACGGUCCAGACUCCUACGGGAGGCAGCAGUGGGGAAUAUUGGACAAUGGGCGCAAGCCUGAUCCAGCCAUACCGCGUGGGUGAAGAAGGCCUUCGGGUUGUAAAGCCCUUUUGUUGGGAAAGAAAUCCAGCCGGCUAAUACCUGGUUGGGAUGACGGUACCCAAAGAAUAAGCACCGGCUAACU
RNAcentral lists this ribosomal RNA (473 nucleotides) under rape rhizosphere bacterium cse070. RNAcentral describes it as "bacterial SSU rRNA". It matches the Rfam family "Bacterial small subunit ribosomal RNA", at positions 42 to 502 of the family's 1533-position model. The record is from RNAcentral.